GCUGUGUACCUGAUAACUUCCAUAUCUUAUUUACAUAAAUAUGUAGUAAAGAAAUUUAAAUCAAAUCAUUUAUUAAAAUAUAAUCUAACAGUAGAUGAUCACUAAUGCAAUCGAACGUAAACAGUGACGUUAUCAUUUCAUUUUAAAAUGUUGUGCCGAGAAAGCACUUCACAUUUUGCUUUAUUCAACAAAAGAAAUCAAUAUAUAAAUACUUUCUUAUAUCAGAAAUUACCGCCAACAUGAACCACCAUAAUCAAAAAUAUUAAGAGCAUUGAAUUGAAGCAUCCUACACUUCAACGGUUUAUUUCAGUUUUCUAUAAGACGAAAAAAAGCUUGACAUACCAAUAGCAACCAAGCUAUUUCGUUUUUUUUAUUAUAUAAAAAUGAAAUCAUUCAGUGCUUGAACCUCAAAUUUCAAUAAUGUCUCGUCAAAAAGUAAAAUAACAAAAAUACCGAGCUCCAGCGAGAUUUGAAACCGAAAAGACCCUUAUCAAAUGAAAAAAAAUCAAGAGCUCAAACACAUCAAACGAAUGGAAACAACUGGCAUAUAUAUUCCGGACUUAGUACACGCAUUUCCCUAUGUAGAAAAUGGUGGAAUAAACCUUGUUAUAACCUCACAUUUUCUUGUUAUUCUUUGAAAAAAAAUGAAUGGUUGAUGGUUGAUAUAAUAUAAUUGGCAUCUGCUAUACAUUGUUAACAUAAUUAUCAAUUAGCUUAGCUACUGCAACAAAAAAAAUAAUUUAAAUUAUCCAAUCAUGGAAAAUAAGCCAAAUGCUACUUAGAUCGCAGUGUUGUACAUUGCAAAAACAUACUAAAUGGUUUUAUAUUGUGUUUUUCAAUUUCACAACAUUGGUCUAAAUAUGUGAAAGUGCACCAAAA
Molecule: long non-coding RNA, 879 nt
Filed under: Mytilus galloprovincialis (Mediterranean mussel)
Lineage: Eukaryota; Metazoa; Mollusca; Bivalvia; Mytilida; Mytilidae
Source: RNAcentral